RNAcentral lists this ribosomal RNA (229 nucleotides) under uncultured bacterium. Its description in RNAcentral is "partial 16S ribosomal RNA". It matches the Rfam family "Bacterial small subunit ribosomal RNA", at positions 568 to 796 of the family's 1533-position model. The record is from RNAcentral.
UCCGUAGGCGGGUCAUUAAGUCAGAGGUGAAAUCCCACAGCUUAACUGUGGAACUGCCUUAGUUACUGGUGAUCUUGAGUUUUAGUGAAGUAGAUAGAAUGUGUAGUGUAGCGGUGAAAUGCAUAGAUAUUACACAGAAUACCGAUUGCGAAGGCAGUCUACUAACUAACAACUGACGCUAAUGGACGAAAGCGUGGGGAGCGAACAGGAUUAGAUACCCUGGUAGUCC